UACGGGGGGGGCAAGCGUUGUUCGGAAUUACUGGGCGUAAAGGGUUCGUAGGUGGCCGGCUAAGUCAGACGUGAAAUCCCUCAGCUCAACUGGGGAACUGCGUCUGAGACUGGCCGGCUUGAGUGCAGGAGAGGAACGCGGAAUUCCAGGUGUAGCGGUGAAAUGCGUAGAUAUCUGGAGGAACACCGGUGGCGAAGGCGGCGUUCUGGACUGCAACUGACACUGAGGAACGAAAGCCCGGGGAGCAAACGGG
RNAcentral lists this ribosomal RNA (253 nucleotides) under uncultured bacterium. Its description in RNAcentral is "partial 16S ribosomal RNA". It matches the Rfam family "Bacterial small subunit ribosomal RNA", at positions 524 to 776 of the family's 1533-position model. The record is from RNAcentral.